This 253-nucleotide ribosomal RNA is filed under the name uncultured bacterium. RNAcentral describes it as "partial 16S ribosomal RNA". It matches the Rfam family "Bacterial small subunit ribosomal RNA", at positions 524 to 776 of the family's 1533-position model. The record is from RNAcentral.
UACGGAGGGUGCAAGCGUUAUUCGGAAUUACUGGGCGUAAAGCGCACGCAGGCGGCUGAGUCAGUCGAUUGUGAAAGCCCUGGGCUUAACCUGGGAAUUGCAGUCGAUACUACUCAGCUAGAGUAUGGGAGAGGGUAGUGGAAUUCCCGGUGUAGCGGUGAAAUGCGUAGAUAUCGGGAGGAACAUCAGUGGCGAAGGCGGCUACCUGGCCCAAUACUGACACUCAGGUGCGACAGCGUGGGGAGCAAACAGG